This 368-nucleotide ribosomal RNA is filed under the name uncultured eukaryote. Its description in RNAcentral is "SSU rRNA". It matches the Rfam family "Eukaryotic small subunit ribosomal RNA", at positions 587 to 972 of the family's 1831-position model. The record is from RNAcentral.
AGCUCCAAUAGCGUAUAUUAAAGUUGUUGCAGUUAAAAAGCUCGUAGUUGAAUUUCUGGCCGGUCUUGUUCACGGCUGUUGUCGGCUCAAGGCCUGGUCAUCCGUAGGGGAAUCGUAUGCGGUCUUCAGUGGUCGGUGCGUGGAACCUACAUUUUACUGUGAAAAAAUUAGAGUGCUCCAGGCAGGCAAUCGCUUGGAUACUCCAGCAUGGAAUAAUGGAAUAGGACUCUGUUACUAUUCGUUGGUUUGAGUACAGAGUAAUGAUUAAUAGGGACAGUUGGGGGCAUUCGUAUUUAAUUGUCAGAGGUGAAAUUCUUGGAUUUAUUAAAGACGAACUUAUGCGAAAGCAUUUGCCAAGGAUGUUUUCA